AUUGAACGCUGGCGGCAGGCCUAAUACAUGCAAGUCGAGCGGAUGAAGGAAGAUUGCUCCUGGUUUCCGCGGCGGACGGGCGAGUGAUUCCUAAGAAUCUGCCCGGCAGUGGGUGAUAACGUCCGGAAACGGGCGCUAAUACCGCAUACGUCCCGAGGGAGAAAGUGGGGGAUCUUUGGACCUAACGCUAUUUGAUGAGACUAGGACGGGUUAGCUAGUUGGUGGGGUAAAGGCAUACCAAGGCGACGAUCCGUAGCUGGUCUGAGAGGAUGAUCAGACACACUGGAACUGAGACACGGUCCAGACUACUACGGGAGGCAGCAGUGGGGAAUAUUGGACAAUGGGCGAAAGCCUGAUCCAGCCAUGCCGCGUGUGUGAAGAAGGUCUUCGGAUUGGAAAGCUCUUUAAGUUGGGAAGAAGAGCAGUAAGUUAAUACCUUGCUGUUUUGACGGUACCAAAAGAAUAAGCACCGGCUAACUUCGUG
This 484-nucleotide ribosomal RNA is filed under the name uncultured bacterium. Its description in RNAcentral is "partial 16S ribosomal RNA". It matches the Rfam family "Bacterial small subunit ribosomal RNA", at positions 30 to 507 of the family's 1533-position model. The record is from RNAcentral.